GGAUAACCUACCCUUAGGACUGGGAUAACCCUGGGAAACUGGGGAUAAUACCGGAUAGGCAAUUUUUCCUGGAAUGGUUUUUUGUUUAAAUGUUUUUUCGCCUAAGGAUGGGUCUGCGGCCGAUUAGGUAGUUGGUUAGGUAACGGCUUACCAAGCCAUUGAUCGGUACGGGUUGUGAGAGCAAGAGCCCGGAGAUGGAACCUGAGACAAGGUUCCAGGCCCUACGGGGUGCAGCAGGCGCGAAACCUCCGCAAUGUGAGAAAUCGCGACGGGGGGAUCCCAAGUGCCAUUCUUAACGGGAUGGCUUUUCAUUAGUGUAAAGAGCUUUUGGAAUAAGGGCUGGGCAAGACCGGUGCCAGCCGCCGCGGUAACACCGGCAGCUCUAGUGGUAGCAGUUUUUAUUGGGCCUAAAGCGUCCGUAGCCGGUUUAAUAAGUCUCUGGUGAAAUCCUGUAGCUUAACUGU
RNAcentral lists this ribosomal RNA (464 nucleotides) under uncultured archaeon. Its description in RNAcentral is "bacterial SSU rRNA". It matches the Rfam family "Archaeal small subunit ribosomal RNA", at positions 102 to 566 of the family's 1478-position model. The record is from RNAcentral.